GGGCCGGUGGUCUAGCUGGCUAACUGGAGAGGCCAAGGGACAUCGCCCUCACGUGGCGAGGAUCGCCGGUUCAAAUCCGGCCCGGCCCACCA
This 92-nucleotide transfer RNA is filed under the name Desulfobacterales bacterium. RNAcentral's name for it is "tRNA-Val". It matches the Rfam family "tRNA". From Rfam's summary of the family: Transfer RNA (tRNA) molecules are approximately 80 nucleotides in length. Their secondary structure includes four short double-helical elements and three loops (D, anti-codon, and T loops). The record is from RNAcentral. Lineage: Bacteria; Pseudomonadati; Thermodesulfobacteriota; Desulfobacteria; Desulfobacterales.